Molecule: ribosomal RNA, 1096 nt
Filed under: Acremonium alternatum
Lineage: Eukaryota; Fungi; Ascomycota; Sordariomycetes; Hypocreales; Bionectriaceae
Description: eukaryotic LSU rRNA
Rfam family: Eukaryotic large subunit ribosomal RNA (bases 503-1096)
Source: RNAcentral
GCGGAGGGAUCAUUACCGAGUGUAAAAACUCCCAAACCAUUGUGAACCUACCACUGUUGCUUCGGCGGCCUCGCCCCGGGCGCGUUCGCGCGGCCCGGACCCAGGCGUCCGCCGGAGGCUCCAAACUCUUGUCUUUUAGUGUAUUUCUGAGUGGCAUAAGCAAAUAAAUCAAAACUUUCAGCAACGGAUCUCUUGGUUCUGGCAUCGAUGAAGAACGCAGCAAAAUGCGAUAAGUAAUGUGAAUUGCAGAAUUCAGUGAAUCAUCGAAUCUUUGAACGCACAUUGCGCCCGCCAGUAUUCUGGCGGGCAUGCCUGUCUGAGCGUCAUUUCAACCCUCAGGACCCGUUCGCGGGACCUGGCGUUGGGGAUCAGCCUGCCCCUGGCGGCGGCUGGCCCUGAAAUCCAGUGGCGGUUCCCUCGCGAACUCCUCCGUGCAGUAAUUAAACCUCUCGCGGCAGGAUAGCGGUUGAACCACGCCGUUAAACCCCCCACUUCUCAAGGUUGACCUCAGAUCAGGUAGGAAUACCCGCUGAACUUAAGCAUUGCCCUAGUAACGGCGAGUGAAGCGGCAACAGCUCAAAUUUGAAAUCUGGCCUCACGGUCCGAAUUGUAAUUUGUAGAGGAUGUUUCUGGCGACGUGUCUUCCGAGUUCCCUGGAACGGGACGCCAUAGAGGGUGAGAGCCCCGUCCGGUCGUACACCUAGCCUCUGUGAAACUCCUUCGACGAGUCGAGUAGUUUGGGAAUGCUGCUCUAAAUGGGAGGUAUACGUCUUCUAAAGCUAAAUACCGGCCAGAGACCGAUAGCGCACAAGUAGAGUGAUCGAAAGAUGAAAAGCACUUUGAAAAGAGGGUUAAAUAGUACGUGAAAUUGCUGAAAGGGAAGCGCUUAUGACCAGACUUGGGCUCGGUGAAUCAUCCGGCGUUCUCGCCGGUGCACUUUGCCGUCCCAGGCCAGCAUCAGUUCGCGCCGGGGGAUAAAGGUUUCGGGAAUGUAGCUCCCUCGGGAGUGUUAUAGCCCGUUGCGUAAUACCCUGGCGUGGACUGAGGUCCGCGCUCUGCAAGGAUGCUGGCGUAAUGGUCAUCAGUGACCCGUCUU